RNAcentral lists this long non-coding RNA (520 nucleotides) under Numida meleagris (helmeted guineafowl). RNAcentral describes it as "lncRNA (ENSNMEG00000015724.1)". Lineage: Eukaryota; Metazoa; Chordata; Aves; Galliformes; Numididae. The record is from RNAcentral.
UCUACGUUAUCGAUAAAGAUGUUGAAGAGCACCAGUCCCAAGAUGGACCCUUGGGGGACACCACUCCUCACUGGUCAACCUGUUGACCACUAAAAAUGUGUUGAUCUAUUAUUAACCCCAUCUAUGUUCUUAAGUUAAGACCUAUCUCCUUUCAGUUUUAAUAGACACUUCUCCAUUAAUGACAAGAGGAAAUAUUGUCUGAGGUAGUAAUCAGCAAGAUAACUGGCAUAAGAGGAUGUGCAGAAAUAGAAGAAAAAAGCAGGGUUUUUUGAAGUCUUGUUCUCUGCAUGAUGAAAUGCUCCACUCCAAGAACUGAAGACGCUAUGGAGGAACGGAGGCUCUUUUACACCUGCUGGGGGCACUGCAAUACAAAGAAAAGGAGCAAUGACUGCUGAAAAUCUUUCACCUUAGAAACUGACAAAAAAAGCUGCAACUGUCAGCAAAAAAAAAAAGAGAAGAUUAUCAGAAUUGAGAGCUGUCCCUGGGAGGAAAAAGGUGAUUAAAUGGAUUCACAAACCAC